RNAcentral lists this long non-coding RNA (414 nucleotides) under Bos taurus (domestic cattle). Its description in RNAcentral is "long non-coding RNA NONBTAT015472". Lineage: Eukaryota; Metazoa; Chordata; Mammalia; Artiodactyla; Bovidae. The record is from RNAcentral.
GGUUUAACUUGAAUCACUUUCUCUGUCUGUUGAUGGUGAGCUGGUGCCAUCUCAUUUGGCUUUCUAAAUAAUUGCACAGGCACUUCCUAGCUGAGUAUCCUUGGGAGAAUUAAGUCUCUGUGAGCAUGAUAAAUGGCGAUGAUCUCAGAAAGUCAUAGGGUUAAGAAAAAAGGGUUAGGUAAGAAAGUCUCAGGAUUAAAGGAUAAUAAGUGGAGAAAGUACUGAGUCCAUGAUCCCAACACACGAAAUUACUCAAUAAAAACUAGCACUCAAGGGGCCUGGAAGAAUGCUCCUGGAUUAGCCUCAAUCCUUGGUAUUAGGAGGCUGUGUGAGCCACAAAGAAUGUGACAUACUGCAAAGGACAUCUAAGUUUUUGGUGUUUUCAAACAGUAACAUUUACUCAGCACACUCAUU